UAGGGAUGGGACAGGAGCCAACGCCUAGAUCUUUGUGCUCCUCUUUAGGGAUUUCUAAAAAUGAUGUGGGAAUUUAUCCUAAUCAACGUACGCAAACUUCUUCUAAAAGUACAAGAUCAAAUUUUACUAUGUCUUCUGAUCAAGAAAUGCGAACAAUGGAUAAAAACUCCUUGGUUCUUGAGAAAGAGCAUAUGCAAACCAAUACUUCAUUGCCUCCAUCUACUGAUCAAGUUAUGCAACACUCCCAAACAGUUGAAACAGCUGUAGGUUCUUCAUCUAAUCCUGCAAAGGUAAAAAGAGUUCGAGGGAGGAACAAGUGUAAAGAAGUUGCAUCACUUGAAGUCGGACAAAAGCUGAAAGUAAACUUUUACAAUAAUCGAACGGUUGGAACAAAUAGCAAACUGUUUUCGAGGCACUUGGGAAGAAUCGUUCGUGACCGUAAUAUGUGUCCUUUGAGAGUAUCAUCGUGAAAUGAUAUUGCGGAAGAAAAGUUGAAUCACAUGUGAGAAGCUAUUGGGGUAACAACUGUAGCCAAGAGUAUGACUGUGCAAUUUGAGUCAUUUUAAGUCUAAGCAGCUAGAUAACAUUUUUGACAUGGCUGAUAAAUCUGGAAUUUAUCUACAUGACUGAGGAAAUGAUAUUUAUACAGUAAAGAUGCAUAUUAUUAGUUGAAUACUUGUGUUCCUGUUUGUGCCUCUAUGUAGGAAUCAAAUACCAUAAUGCUUACAGUUAUUGGCUAUUGAUAAACCAGCAACUAUAGGUUAACGUCUAAGCAAUUCUGAAAGCAGUAGACUGGAAAGUGAAUCUCACACUAUCAUAGAACAAUUUCUGGUUUGCUGCCUAUUUUUUAAAUGUGCACUUGGUCAGUUCUUGUCUUUGAGGGCAUAUAAGAUGCCUUGGGCAUGAGGAUACAAAUAUGGCAUUUGCUGUUUAAAUAUUCUUCAAUUCAAAAUUCAUUGCUUCUUAGGGUAACUUUUGUUGGCACUUGAUAUUUAACUUUUAAGUUGUAACUCUGCUAUGUGACAAUUAUUGUCCAAGUAGAACAUUUGCAGACGUUCAUAUUUUGUAGAUCUAAUAAAGAACUAACUUUUAAUAUGAACAUUACCUUGACAAGAGUUGAAGUUUUGGCAGAAUGAUAAUUAUAAAUUGAUGCAAAAGUAUAUGUUUCUCUGGUUUAGUUGGUCCAAACUUAGCCUAAGUUAAAAUACUAAUACAUAACUGAUUUAACCUUCUACAACUCAAGGUAGGUAACUAUAAGACAAGUAUGGUGGUAUAGUUGGGAUCCGUUCCCUUAAAUCAAAGGUGUCGGACUCGAGCUUUAGUAAUUGAGAACAGUAUAUCCGUGCAUAAGUACAACACGGAUCAGUGUCAGUUGAUCAAGAAAUUUGGUUAAACAAAAAAAUAUGUUAAUCUCUAUAAGGAAAGUUCUAUAGUGAUGUAUGAUCUCUUGAAAACUUCAAAACCAUUUUUUUCCCUUUCAAAUGGAAGAUUCUCUUGACCAGAGCUUCAAGUAUUGGGUAUUGGAUAAAAUAACAACCAUGGGGAAAUCUCAGUUAAAGACCUCUGACUCUUUAAUCUCGGUAACUUUUAAAAAGUGUAUGCACUCAACUCUACUGACAAAUGAGUUAUUCCCAGUUUUAUGUUGCCAGCUACCACAAGCAUAGGGUAGCAGUAUUAGCUGUUGUAUCUAAACUUAUGUGCUCAAUUACUUAACGUGCUCUGUAUAAUCAUAGGAGAUUGUUAACUGAUUCAACAGACUUCAUAAAAAGUUCCGCUGCUGGAGAGUUGCUAGAUAGAAUUUCAAAUUAAAUACAACUAUUAGCACAUAUUCAAAAUGCACAGUUAGGAUCAAAAUGCAACAGAUUUACUAAAACUGAACUAAUAUAAACUCAACCCAUAUUCCGAUUAUUGUAGGAUAAAUUUGAGAGUGUUGACAUGAAUGAUCAUCGUGAUCAUAUCUUCGGAUGGAUGAAAGAGUUAUGGAACAAAUGGAGAGGACACUUGUAUACAAAACAUGUGAAGGAUAAGCCAAUCCAACAGGCUCUUAAGAAUAUUCCAAAGGGAGUAGACAAUGGGAGUGGUUAAUAAAGGAAUUUCCCUCCCUAGCAUCAGAUAUUUUUCUACUAUAUCUGGAACCUGAGUAUAUUGUUUAAGUUUAUUAAAUUUAUUACAUUUAAGCUUAAUGUUACACAAAUAUAGGCGAGAAGCAACGGGAAUGCGGCAAAUCGAGCUAAGUUGAAGAUGCUUCAUCAUAUUGGUAGCAAGCCUAUUCGAGAGAUUAUUUAUCAAAAGGGCGGAAAAGAUGGCAAUCCACCAGAUUUGGCAACAAUUUUCUUCGACCCGUAAGAAAGAUAACAAGCUUGUUGAACCUGAAGCAAUUGAAAAACAUGCUCAAAUCGAAGAAAUAAUUCAAUCAGAUCCAUCUCUACCUAGCAUAGAGAUUGUAGAAAAAUGUUGUGGACCUCAAACUCGUAGCCACGUGUUUGGCUUUGGGGGUGGAGUAAAGGCGAAAGACUUGAAAGGUGAAACUUCUUCAAAGGCUGAAUUACUGUCCGCGCUACGUUCAACUCGAGAAGAAAAUAAAUCUUUGAAUGAGGAAAACAAAUCCUUGCAGGAGCGCUUGUCUACCUUAGAAGAUGACAUGAAAGAAAUGAAGAAAAUGAAAGAGUUCUUCGCUGCUCAACAAUCACAUGUCCCGCUUACGACAUCGCCUGUUUCAACUGAAUGAAUACUGUUUUGUCUGCUGACCAAGUUAGUAAAAAUAUACCCAACUUUUUAAUUUAUAUAGUUGAUUUGCGUAUAGUCAAUUUCUAUAUUACAGAUUCUAACAGUUUACUUUUUAAAAAAUUUUUGCAAUUCAUCAGUAGUACCUGAGAAGGGCAAGAAGAAAUAGCCUACAGAAUAGUGAUUGAAGCUAGAUAUGGAUUGAAUGUACAAUGGUGCAGUAAGUAGUUUGACAAUCUAUAAGCUUAUAAGCUGCAGUAAACCAUUGCUAGAGACAAAGGAUAAAUAAUAGUCAAAAGCAAUAUAUGGAGAGUUAUCCCUUGCUGUAAAUUUAGACAAUUUGGAUGGAAAGGAACCAUAAAUAUUUUGAUAAGCCUCAUCUUUGUCUUCUGUAGUACUUAGAUGCUCGUGGAUCAUUUUUUUGUGGUGUAGUAGAAAUGUUGUAAAUAAUUUUGGUAAUAUGGUGAAAGUUAUUGGCCCCUUAGGCUUAUCUUACCUUUUUCAUAUAAAAAAAAGUUAUAGACCCCUUACAUAUUUUGAACAACUAACUUAGCAAGACUCUGUGCAUACUGUUUGCUUCACCUCCUAGACACAAUUACAUCAAUUAGUUGUUGCACUAACAUCAGUGAUACAUGCUUAGCUAAUCAGUUUACCAAACACAUACACCUACUCCACAAUUCAACUGAAGGCAUUUUUGACAUAAAAGGCAUAAGUGAAGAAUGAUUUUUUUUUUCAUGAAACUUCACUGCAUUAGCAAGCUGGUCUGCUAAAGUGAACGUUUUGUGAGACAGAUUAAAGAUAUUGAAUUUGGACAAAACUGACAUCAUGGAUUUUACUAUUCAUCUCUUUCCAUGGAAACAGAACUUGCAAAGUGUUUAGUCCACCUGUGUUCUUGUUAAGAGAUAUCUGGUGUUUCUAUCUGUAAUUUUUUUGUGAAGUCAUUACUAGAAACAUUAAUGUGCCAAUAAGAAAUAGGUCCUUGAAAAGAGUAUAGUUAUUGUCUCAAAAUCCAGGCAGAUCAAAGGUCAUUUAAAAGAACAAUUAUAGGUUGAUUCUGGACCAUCUUACAUUGAACAUGUAACAAAUUGACUAGUACCUCAAGGGCCUGACAUGAUCAUAUAUACAGAGACGGCAAACAGUGUUGUCCACGCACUUGUUUCCCGUCAGGUAAAGGAGCUGUUUAAUACCUUACAAGUGAUUUUUCGUCAAUAUCAAAAUUUGUCACUUGUUUCUUUCUGCGGUUUAUUUGACUUGAACGAGUCAGGAAGUGGUAAUAUUCAAAACAUGUGAGAAUUCUAAGUUAGAGAGCUUAAUCUGAAUUCUAUGAGAAACUUGCCUCAUCUUAUUUUGAAUUAUAUUGGUAGAACAUGAUUUUGAAUGUCCUCUUUAUUUGUUGUAUAUCAUGUUUGUUCCGUACGCAAGUGGUAAUGACCGUGCUCACUAGAAGUAGAUGAUAUGGUUCUCUUAUGAUUAAAGAUACCAAGUUCGUGAUGUCGUUGUCUGUUCAUAAUAGUUGUUCUCUUAAAUGGUAAAUCUCGAAUUGUUGUACCGGAAUUUAUCAAACCAAAGUUUGAUUUACCAUCCCAAAGCUUUUCUAAUUAAUUUGUAUAUUUUCCUAUAGCCUUGUUGAUGUUGCUCUAUAACACCUAGUGAAUUUAGACUGCUUUUGGGGUAAGCGGUUAACUAUUGCUAGUUUAAAUUUACAUAUGUCAUUUUACCAAUAGUUAUUUAUCAUCUUUUCAAACUUUUGUACUUACAGGUUUUGAAGACUGAAGUUACAAGUCAAGAUGCAAGUUUAGAAGAUGCACAAGCUCAUUUAUUAUUUUGGUAGGACUGUUAUUCAAAACUUGAUAUCAUAAUGUAGCUGAAGAUAUUAGCUAAGUUUUUUUGUUAAGGUGUCGAGCAAAUAUAGAAACUAACAUCAU
This is a long non-coding RNA of Nicotiana tabacum (common tobacco), 4649 nucleotides long. RefSeq lists it as uncharacterized. The record is from RefSeq and is a predicted model, not a curated record. Lineage: Eukaryota; Viridiplantae; Streptophyta; Magnoliopsida; Solanales; Solanaceae.